UUUCAGCAACGGAUCUCUUGGCUCUCGCAUCGAUGAAGAACGCAGCGAAAUGCGAUAAGUAAUGUGAAUUGCAGAAUUCAGUGAAUCAUCGAAUCUUUGAACGCACCUUGCGCCCUUUGGCUAUUCCGAAGGGCAUGCCUGUUUGAGUAUCAUGAACACCUCAACUCGCACGGUUUGCCGUGACGAGCUUGGACUUUGGGGGUUUUGCUGGUCCACAGUCAGCUCCCCUUAAAUUGAUUAGCUUGCCAGUGUCUGGGGACCUCAUAGGUGUGAUAACUAUCUACGCUUGCGGUGGUAUCCCAGGUAAACCUUCAGCGAUGGAGGUGCGCUGGAGCUCACAAACGUCUUCUUCGGUGGAGACAGCUUUUUGAAGUUCGAUCUCAAAUCAGGUAGGACUACCCGCUGAACUUAAGCAUAUCAAUAAGCGGAGGAAAAGAAACUAACAAGGAUUCCCCUAGUAACUGCGAGUGAAGCGGGAAGAGCUCAAAUUUAAAAUCUGGCGUGCCUCUGGUCGCCCGAGUUGUAUUCUGGAGAAGCGUUUUCCGUGUCGGACCAUGUAUAAGUCUCUUGGAACAGGGCGUCAUAGAGGGUGAGAAUCCCGUCUUUGGCAUGGACUACCGAUGCUUUGUGAUGCGCUCUCAAAGAGUCGAGUUGUUNGGGAAUGCAGCUCAAAAUGGGUGGUAAAUUCCAUCUAAAGCUAAAUAUAGGCGAGAGACCGA
Molecule: ribosomal RNA, 719 nt
Filed under: Tomentella sp. TH9569
Lineage: Eukaryota; Fungi; Basidiomycota; Agaricomycetes; Thelephorales; Thelephoraceae
Description: eukaryotic LSU rRNA
Rfam family: Eukaryotic large subunit ribosomal RNA (bases 376-719)
Source: RNAcentral